Molecule: ribosomal RNA, 253 nt
Filed under: uncultured bacterium
Lineage: Bacteria
Description: partial 16S ribosomal RNA
Rfam family: Bacterial small subunit ribosomal RNA
Source: RNAcentral
UACAGAGGUCCCAAGCGUUGUUCGGAUUCACUGGGCGUAAAGGGUGCGUAGGUGGCGGGGUAAGUUUGAUGUGAAAGCUCCGAGCUUAACUCGGAAAUGGCAUUGAAUACUAUCUUGCUCGAGGUUUGGAGGGGGGACUGGAAUUCUCGGUGUAGCAGUGAAAUGCGUAGAUAUCAAGAGGAACACCAGUGGCGAAGGCGAGUCCCUGGACAACACCUGACACUGAGGCACGAAAGCUAGGGGAGCAAACAGG